This is an RNA transcript of Siniperca chuatsi (mandarin fish), 1753 nucleotides long. It is a transcript of the gene named lin-7 homolog B (C. elegans), with no coding region annotated. The transcript is spliced from 6 exons. NCBI's taxonomy places the organism in Eukaryota, Metazoa, Chordata, Actinopteri, Centrarchiformes, Sinipercidae. The record is from RefSeq and is a predicted model, not a curated record.
AAAGUCAAAACAAGAGUAGCAAUAUUAAUGUGAAAAAUGAUUUCUUACUUUUAAUUGUUGGAUAAACAGUUUAUUUCACCAAUUCGAAAUACUUACCACAUAUGGAAAAGUGUAUUGAAAUACAACGUGUAGUUAAUUUGCGUCUCUGCUUUGAAUCUGCGCAGUAGGUCUACUUUAAACAUACGUACAAGAUGCUCAAAGUGCUCUCAUAUAGUCACGCAUUGGAGCCGUAGUGAAGCUGCUGCGUCUGGUUGUACUGCCUGGUCCUCAGUCCAGCAUCUCGGCCUUCAGUCAGUCGUCUACUCAUCUUCAGUCUGCUGACCAUUUCAUCAUAAAAGAUGGACCACGCAUUGCUGUGAACCAGAUCUUAUGCUCUUCUACGCAGUGUUAAUUAGGGGAUCAGUGUGGACGCGGAGCAGCUCAGAAUGAUGUCCUCGUACUACCACCCUACCAAGGAGGCAGACAUGGCGGCCAUGACAGAGCCGCUCUGCCUGGAAAGAGAUGUGUGCAGGGUGAUCGAGCUGCUGGACCGGCUGCAGCGGAGUGGUGAGCUGCCUCCUCCCAAACUGCAGGCCCUGCAGAGAGUCUUACAGAGCAAAUUCUGUGCCGCCAUCAGAGAGGUAUAUGAGCAGCUGUAUGACACUCUAGACAUUGUUGGAGGACCAGAGGUGCGAGCACAGGCAACAGCCAAGGCCACAGUGGCAGCCUUUGCAGCCAGCGAGGGCCACGCCCACCCAAGGGUGGUGGAGCUGCCCAAGACAGAAGAGGGUCUGGGCUUUAACAUCAUGGGGGGCAAAGAGCAGAACUCCCCCAUCUACAUCUCCAGAGUGAUCCCUGGGGGGGUGGCCGACCGCCAAGGAGGGCUGAAGAGGGGAGACCAGUUGCUGUCUGUCAACGGCGUGAGCGUUGAGGGGGAGCACCAUGAGAAGGCUGUGGAGCUGCUGAAGGCAGCCCAGGGUUCAGUCAAGCUGGUGGUCCGCUACACCCCUAAGGUCCUGGAGGAAAUGGAGGCUCGCUUUGAGAAGAUGAGGAGCGCCCGGAGAAGACAGCAGCACACCAGCUACUCGUGAGGCUGCUUGUUAGUCUGCACGUACUCACCACUGUUAAUAUAUGUACGGGCACACAGGAUCUCUGGAGUCCAGGGGUUAGCUAAUUCAAUUCCUCCAUCCACCUCAUCGUCCAACCCUCCUCGCUCUUCUGUUCCAGUGGGAGGCAAGACCGUAGAUGAGAAGCAAAAAACCAAAGUAGCCUACCAACACCUGUUACAUGAACGUCUUCAUGAAGCCAACGCUGUAGUUUAGGAUUUUCUCCCCUCACUCUUUCCCUAUUUCUUAGAGAAAUGCAGAGUAAGCUUGUUGUCACGCCUGUAAUUUCACCUGCCCAGUGUAAAAUCAUUCUCAGCAUCCUGUUACAUAAGGGCAACAAACUCUUUAGUGUGUGUGGCCUAACUAGAACCUAGUGUUAAUAUUUUAUUUUACUGCAUUCUCAUGUAGUGCACUGCACUCUUCAGCAGUGUCCACUGUCUGCAGUUAGACCUCAGUAGCAGAGGAACCAUGGAAACUGACACCUACAGCCUUCACAGCCAUUUCUCCAUCAGAUGUCCCAGGUAGAGGGCUAACCAUUAGCAUUAUGAAGAACUGCACAUAAAUCAGUGGCUGGCAAGUGUCAACUUAGUCAAAGUUUUGAGAUUUUUUUUGUAUUCAUUUAUUUGCAUAAUUAUUCACGAAAUAAAGUCUUAACUGUGUAAAUUGAA